GAGGAAGGUGGGGAUGACGUCAAGUCAUCAUGGCCCUUACGAGUAGGGCUACACACGUGCUACAAUGGCGCAUACAAAGAGAAGCGACCUCGCGAGAGCAAGCGGACCUCAUAAAGUGCGUCGUAGUCCGGAUUGGAGUCUGCAACUCGACUCCAUGAAGUCGGAAUCGCUAGUAAUCGUAGAUCAGAAUGCUACGGUGAAUACGUUCCCGGGCCUUGUACACACCGCCCGUCACACCAUGGGAGUGGGUUGCAAAAGAAGUAGGUAGCUUAACCUUCGGGAGGGCGCUUACCACUUUGUGAUUCAUGACUGGGGUGAAGUCGUAACAAGGUAACCGUAGGGGAACCUGCGGUUGGAUCACCUCCUU
RNAcentral lists this ribosomal RNA (367 nucleotides) under Enterobacter asburiae. RNAcentral describes it as "bacterial SSU rRNA". It matches the Rfam family "Bacterial small subunit ribosomal RNA", at positions 1166 to 1532 of the family's 1533-position model. The record is from RNAcentral. Lineage: Bacteria; Pseudomonadati; Pseudomonadota; Gammaproteobacteria; Enterobacterales; Enterobacteriaceae.